GCCCGGAUGGUCUAGUGGUAUGAUUCUCGCUUGUAAGGCUACCGUACCAGGAUUACCAACUUUACCACAUACUAAUCCAGAAUAGUGGGAUUAUCCGAUCUAAAUGCGAGAGGCCCCGUGUUCGAACCACGGUUCGGGCC
This is a non-coding RNA of Aspergillus versicolor CBS 583.65, 140 nucleotides long. The record is from the annotation of a RefSeq genome assembly. NCBI's taxonomy places the organism in Eukaryota, Fungi, Ascomycota, Eurotiomycetes, Eurotiales, Aspergillaceae.